Triticum urartu is the source of this 1686-nucleotide non-coding RNA. The record is from RefSeq and is a predicted model, not a curated record. Lineage: Eukaryota; Viridiplantae; Streptophyta; Magnoliopsida; Poales; Poaceae.
UAACCAGCUGUCACUGUACUGGUUCUUUGUUGCAGAACAUGCUCUGUGUAGAAAUAAAAUCGAUAUCUAUUGACUACACAAAUUAUGUAUUUAACUCGUAUGUGUUAUGGCUGCUGAAUUUUGGAAUCAUUAUUUGCACAAGCUAUUCUUGUUUUGUUUGUCUGGAGGAACUGAAGUUGUUUAGCAUGUAUACGUGUGAAACUGUUCUUUCCUCAUAAGCUGCAUCAAGGUGCAAAGUGUGGAUAAUAUUUCUGUUGCUAUAAAGCUUGAAUUUGGGCAUUUCAGUCUUCUGACAUGUAGUUCUGCUUUGCAGGCAAUGAUGAAAGACCGGUUUGCAAAAAGUGUGGUGCGAAAGGUUUUGGAGACUUGCGACGACCACACCCGUGAGCUGAUUCUUUCGCGUAUCAAGGUCCUCCUCAGUCCUGAACACAGUAAAAAGAUAGGGAUUAGUUACCUACCUCAUACAGGACAGGAUACCUGGAAUUUCUGAAGUGUGAGGAGGCAUAAGCUGUGUAUCGGCAGCAAGCAUCGAGCAAUUCAACCAAGCAUGUCUUGCAACUGAGGAAACCAGAAGUGCCUUUCUUUUGAUUCUCCCGAGGAGUGCCAGAUUCUAUUGAUAUGUUUGGUACUGCUGAUGAGAAUGGGCCAUUACAGGCAAUGAUGAAAGUCCGAUUUGCAAAAUGUUUGGUGCAGAAGGUUUUAGAGAAUUGCGACGACCACAACUGUGAGCUGAUUCUUUCGUGUAUCAAGGUCCUCCGGAACACAGUAAAAAGAAGGGGAUUAGUUACCUACCUCACAUAGGACAGGAAACCUAGAAUUCUGCAGUGUGUCGAGGCAUAAGCUGUGUAAUCGGAUUAUCGGAAGCAAGCAUCAAGUAACUCAACCUGGUAACUGAGCCUGGCCCCCUCCAACCAAUCCUUGCAACCAUUUGGGAGAUGGACCAUUCAAAGUGAGAUAUUAGAGGAAACCGAACAACACCCAAAUCAACAGGCGGUUGACCGGAGGUGGUUCAGUUCCAUCGAACUCUCACUUCAAGUGGCGCAUGUACGGCGCAUCCGUCAUGUAGGUACCCCCAGAUCAUUAGGUAAAUCUACCGAAAAUGAGAUAUUGGAGAAAAACAAACUGGAAACAUCAACACUUUGAGAUGGAUUUCCCAGUUUGCUUUCAUCCAACACUCACUUUCAGUGCCUGCACAACAACAGCUGAAAACAAUACUAGCAUAGCAGGGAGGUGGCGUUGGUUACGAUUCAGAAGCCAGGAGUAGGCUGUGGAACUACUGCCUUGGUUUGGGCCAGGAUUUUAUAGCUGCGCGACUGGGAAAGGGAGUCCUUGGCUUUCUGUUGGGCCGGCCAGCCCUUCAUGCCCAUCGUGUGUGUGCUUUUCCUGCAUGAACCUUGUGCUUUCGGUUUCAGAACCCCACCCUGGUGGUACAAGUAGAUAGAGUAUUUUCUGGUAGACCUUCCCAGGACAGAACAAUGCUCAAAGCCUGGUUUCUCUUUUUCUCUUCUCAAAGCGUGCUCACGAUUGAAGUGUCAAGACUCAGUUCAUCCUUACUGCAACUCAUCCUGGUCUACCAACAGUGCUCAGGAGUAUUUUGUAAUAUGAUUCCUGGUCACAGAGGCAUUUGCUUAAUGUCUUACCAUUUUUGUCGCAUUUCAGAAAGGCAUAUUGAUAUUGGGGGUCUCA